UACGAAGGGGGCUAGCGUUGUUCGGAAUUACUGGGCGUAAAGCGCGCGCAGGCGGCUUUUCAAGUCAGUGGUGAAAGCCCGGAGCUCAACUCCGGAACUGCCAUUGAAACUGUAAAACUUGAGGAUGAGAGAGGUGAGUGGAAUUCCCAGUGUAGAGGUGAAAUUCGUAGAUAUUGGGAAGAACACCGGUGGCGAAGGCGGCUCACUGGCUCAUAUCUGACGCUCAGGCGCGACAGCGUGGGGAUCAAACAGG
This 253-nucleotide ribosomal RNA is filed under the name uncultured bacterium. Its description in RNAcentral is "partial 16S ribosomal RNA". It matches the Rfam family "Bacterial small subunit ribosomal RNA", at positions 524 to 776 of the family's 1533-position model. The record is from RNAcentral.